This 301-nucleotide ribosomal RNA is filed under the name uncultured bacterium. RNAcentral's name for it is "partial 16S ribosomal RNA". It matches the Rfam family "Bacterial small subunit ribosomal RNA", at positions 509 to 807 of the family's 1533-position model. The record is from RNAcentral.
CAGCAGCCGCGGUAAAACGGAGGGGGCUAGCGUUGUUCGGAAUUACUGGGCGUAAAGCGCACGUAGGCGGUUUUGUAAGUCAGAGGUGAAAGCUCGGAGCUCAACUCCGGAACUGCCUUUGAGACUGCAUCACUUGAACGUCGGAGAGGUGAGUGGAAUUCCGAGUGUAGAGGCGAAAUUCGUAGAUAUUCGGAAGAACACCAGUGGCGAAGGCGGCUCACUGGACGACUGUUGACGCUGAGGUGCGAAAGCGUGGGGAGCAAACAGGAUUAGAUACCCCCGUAGUCCCUGUCUCUUAUAC